GGCGAGGCGGCUUCCCGCCAUGGGGAUACGAGAGGCUUUCACUUACUGACCCGCUGCUUUGAUCGUCUCGCCACAUACAAGUACCAAUGAUCUAUAACUUCAGGUGAUACUUGUAGCAGAAAGGAUCAGAACAAAUGUCUGCAGUCCUAUCUUCUCUUGUGCAAAGAUGGUGCACAAUUAAACAGCCAACUGGAGGAAGUUCCUUGCUCAUUCCCAUUUUUGACAACAUGCACUAAACGGUUCUUUUGAAGACCCUGACCUGGAGUAACAUGCUGACUUCAGUUCUUUGCAGAAAUGAGACCCGCUCUCGGAGCCUCAUGACUGGCCGCUUUUUGAUAUGACAAGGACAUGGCCUAGAAGAUUAGUGCGUAUUCAGGGUGCUGGAUUUUCGUGGCUCUGGAGGCAGGCGGAUUCAAGGUUGAUACCGCUGCCUGAUGUGUCAUGGGAGUACAUGGAAUAUCGAAAGCAGCUGGCUGCUGGCUGUGUGCCCAGGGACCUGGGUUAUUUGGGCAUAGAGCUCAGAAAAAGCAAUGCCACAGACUUUUAACACCAUAAAUCAGGCUUCCAGACUGUUCGGGCUGACCGGAAGUGCACUGAGAGCGGUAAACGUAAAGGAGUUGGGGGCUUGCUGUUCUGGUUAACAACGGAUGGUGCAAUCCUGGUCAUAUUACGAUCGAGGAACGUGGAUGUAGCCCGGAUAUUGAACUUUUUGCUGUUGGACUCCGGCCAUAUUCCACUGUGAUACAACACUGGGCGUUAUGGGAGGUUGUUCCUGCCUGUGGCCAUCGAACUUUGCAGCUCCUCCCAUGGAGGGUCAGACACCCUGAGCCAAUAGGCUGGUCCUGGACUUAUUUCCGUCUGGCAUAGUUUGCAUAUUGUUGUUUGAUUGUUUGUGGUUUUUGUAUUUCUAUAUUUAUACUCUAUUCUUGGUUGGUGCAGCUGUAACGAAACUCAAUUUCCCUUGGGA
Long non-coding RNA from Mobula hypostoma (lesser devil ray), 967 nucleotides. RefSeq lists it as uncharacterized. The record is from RefSeq and is a predicted model, not a curated record. The transcript has 4 exons. Lineage: Eukaryota; Metazoa; Chordata; Chondrichthyes; Myliobatiformes; Myliobatidae.